This 262-nucleotide ribosomal RNA is filed under the name uncultured prokaryote. Its description in RNAcentral is "partial 16S ribosomal RNA". It matches the Rfam family "Bacterial small subunit ribosomal RNA", at positions 524 to 784 of the family's 1533-position model. The record is from RNAcentral.
UACGUAGGGUGCGAGCGUUGCCCGGAAUUACUGGGCGUAAAGAGCUCGUAGGUGGUUUGUCACGUCGUCUGUGAAAUUCCGGGGCUUAACCUCGGGCGUGCAGGCGAUACGGGCAAUACUUGAGUGCUGUAGGGGAGACUGGAAUUCCUGGUGUAGCGGUGAAAUGCGCAGAUAUCAGGAGGAACACCAAUGGCGAAGGCAGGUCUCUGGGCAGUUACUGACGCUGAGGAGCGAAAGCAUGGGUAGCGAACAGGAUUAGAUA